AUCAGGCUUCACCCUCGCAUCCUACUUACGCGAUGGACCGAUGCAUACUAUAUGGGAGCUUUACAUUGCUGGUGAAAUGGGGAUUCGCGUCCGUUGACGCGAAAGCCAGGAAGGCAGCUGCGAGCACCCACCUUUACAGGUGGGUUCAUCCUUAGAUCGGGGGUGGGGCCUUUCU
Molecule: non-coding RNA, 175 nt
Filed under: Eggerthellaceae bacterium
Lineage: Bacteria; Bacillati; Actinomycetota; Coriobacteriia; Eggerthellales; Eggerthellaceae
Description: 6S RNA
Rfam family: 6S / SsrS RNA
About the family: E. coli 6S RNA was the first non coding RNA to be sequenced, but its function was unknown until recently. It consists of 184 nucleotides that fold into an extended hairpin structure with a large single-stranded internal bulge.
Source: RNAcentral